RNAcentral lists this long non-coding RNA (267 nucleotides) under Solanum lycopersicum (tomato). RNAcentral describes it as "long non-coding RNA (SLYC_LNC000569)". Lineage: Eukaryota; Viridiplantae; Streptophyta; Magnoliopsida; Solanales; Solanaceae. The record is from RNAcentral.
CUCUCUGCAGCGUCUAAGCCAUCCAUUGCCGCUUAGUUCACUGGAAUGUAAUUCCUGCUAUUUUUGGGUCUCGUUUUAGUUAUUGUUGGAUGUAGUACAUGGUUUUGGUAAUUUUGAGCAUUCCUGACAUUUUGAGUCUGAUAGUACUUGAAGAUUGAUGAUUUUUGUUACCUGACAAUCUUUUAUCAUUAUGUUUUUCUUGAUCUUGCUACUUUGAAAAAUUACCAUCUUUUCAGUCUCUAUUGGAAAUUACCAUCUUUUCAGUCG